RNAcentral lists this ribosomal RNA (610 nucleotides) under Clostridioides difficile. RNAcentral describes it as "bacterial SSU rRNA". It matches the Rfam family "Bacterial small subunit ribosomal RNA", at positions 197 to 828 of the family's 1533-position model. Lineage: Bacteria; Bacillati; Bacillota; Clostridia; Peptostreptococcales; Peptostreptococcaceae. The record is from RNAcentral.
AAUAUCAAAGGUGAGCCAGUACAGGAUGGACCCGCGUCUGAUUAGCUAGUUGGUAAGGUAACGGCUUACCAAGGCGACGAUCAGUAGCCGACCUGAGAGGGUGAUCGGCCACAUUGGAACUGAGACACGGUCCAAACUCCUACGGGAGGCAGCAGUGGGGAAUAUUGCACAAUGGGCGAAAGCCUGAUGCAGCAACGCCGCGUGAGUGAUGAAGGCCUUCGGGUCGUAAAACUCUGUCCUCAAGGAAGAUAAUGACGGUACUUGAGGAGGAAGCCCCGGCUAACUACGUGCCAGCAGCCGCGGUAAUACGUAGGGGGCUAGCGUUAUCCGGAUUUACUGGGCGUAAAGGGUGCGUAGGCGGUCUUUCAAGUCAGGAGUGAAAGGCUACGGCUCAACCGUAGUAAGCUCUUGAAACUGGGAGACUUGAGUGCAGGAGAGGAGAGUGGAAUUCCUAGUGUAGCGGUGAAAUGCGUAGAUAUUAGGAGGAACACCAGUUGCGAAGGCGGCUCUCUGGACUGUAACUGACGCUGAGGCACGAAAGCGUGGGGAGCAAACAGGAUUAGAUACCCUGGUAGUCCACGCUGUAAACGAUGAGUACUAGGUGUCGGGG